GCAGGCCUAAGACCCGCAAGUCGAGCGGAUGAAAAGAGCUUGCUCUCUGAUUCAGCGGCGGACGGGUGAGUAAUGCCUAGGAAUCUGCCUGGUAGUGGGGGACAACGUUUCGAAAGGAACGCUAAUACCGCAUACGUCCUACGGGAGAAAGCAGGGGACCUUCGGGCCUUGCGCUUUCAGAUGAGCCUAGGUCGGAUUAGCUAGUUGGUGGGGUAAUGGCCCACCAAGGCGACGAUCCGUAACUGGUCUGAGAGGAUGAUCAGUCACACUGGAACUGAGACACGGUCCAGACUCCUACGGGAGGCAGCAGUGGGGAAUAUUGGACAAUGGGCGAAAGCCUGAUCCAGCCAUGCCGCGUGUGUGAAGAAGGUCUUCGGAUUGUAAAGCACUUUAAGUUGGGAGGAAGGGCAGUAAGUUAAUACCUUGCUGUUUUGACGUUACCAACAGAAUAAGCACCGGCUAACUUCGUGCCAGCAGCCGCGGUAAUACGAAGGGUGCAAGCGUUAAUCGGAAUUACUGGGCGUAAAGCGCGCGUAUGUGGUUCAGCAAAUUGAAGGUGAAA
RNAcentral lists this ribosomal RNA (562 nucleotides) under bacterium R-18(2011). RNAcentral's name for it is "bacterial SSU rRNA". It matches the Rfam family "Bacterial small subunit ribosomal RNA", at positions 42 to 599 of the family's 1533-position model. The record is from RNAcentral.